AACGAACGCUGGCGGCAUGCCUAACACAUGCAAGUCGAACGAGACCUUCGGGUCUAGUGGCGCACGGGUGCGUAACGCGUGGGAACCUGCCCUUAGGUUCGGAAUAACUCCCCGAAAGGGGUGCUAAUACCGGAUAAUGUCUUCGGACCAAAGAUUUAUCGCCUUUGGAUGGGCCCGCGUUGGAUUAGCUAGUUGGUAGGGUAAAAGCCUACCAAGGCGACGAUCCAUAGCUGGUCUGAGAGGAUGAUCAGCCACACUGGGACUGAGACACGGCCCAGACCCCUACCGGAGGCAGGCAGGGGGGAUAAUGGACAAAUGGGGGAAGGCUGAACCAGCCAAGGCCGGGGAAUUAAGAAGGGCCUUAGGUUGUAAAGCCUCUUUACCCGGGAAGAUAAUGAAAGGACCCGGAGAAUAAGCUCCGGCUAACUCCGUG
Molecule: ribosomal RNA, 433 nt
Filed under: uncultured bacterium
Lineage: Bacteria
Description: partial 16S ribosomal RNA
Rfam family: Bacterial small subunit ribosomal RNA
Source: RNAcentral